AACGAACGCUGGCGGCAUGCCUAACACAUGCAAGUCGAACGAGACCUUCGGGUCUAGUGGCGCACGGGUUCGUAACGCGUGGGAACCUUCCCUUAGGUUCGGAAUAACUCCCCGAAAGGGGUGCUAAUACCGGAUAAUGUCUUCGGACCAAAGAUUUAUCGCCUUUGGUUGGGCCCGCGUUGGAUUAGCUAGUUGGUAGGGUAAAAGCCUACCAAGGCGACGAUCCAUAGCUGGUUUGAGAGGAUGAUCAGCCACACUGGGACGGAGACACGGCCCAGACUCCUACGGGAGGCAGCAGUGGGGAAUAUUGGACAAUGGGCGAAAGCCUGAUCCAGCAAUGCCGCGUGAGUGAUGAAGGCAUUAGGGUUGUAAAGCUCUUUUACCCGGGAUGAUAAUGACAGUACCGGGAGAAUAAGCUCCGGCUAACUCCGUG
RNAcentral lists this ribosomal RNA (433 nucleotides) under uncultured bacterium. RNAcentral's name for it is "partial 16S ribosomal RNA". It matches the Rfam family "Bacterial small subunit ribosomal RNA", at positions 29 to 507 of the family's 1533-position model. The record is from RNAcentral.